RNAcentral lists this ribosomal RNA (1345 nucleotides) under uncultured bacterium. RNAcentral's name for it is "partial 16S ribosomal RNA". It matches the Rfam family "Bacterial small subunit ribosomal RNA", at positions 28 to 1380 of the family's 1533-position model. The record is from RNAcentral.
GACGAACGCUGGCGGCGUGCUUAACACAUGCAAGUCGAACGGAAAGGCCCUGCUUUUGUGGGGUGCUCGAGUGGCGAACGGGUGAGUAACACGUGAGUAACCUGCCCUUGACUUUGGGAUAACUUCAGGAAACUGGGGCUAAUACCGGAUAGGAGCUCCUGCUGCAUGGUGGGGGUUGGAAAGUUUCGGCGGUUGGGGAUGGACUCGCGGCUUAUCAGCUUGUUGGUGGGGUAGUGGCUUACCAAGGCUUUGACGGGUAGCCGGCCUGAGAGGGUGACCGGCCACAUUGGGACUGAGAUACGGCCCAGACUCCUACGGGAGGCAGCAGUGGGGAAUAUUGCACAAUGGGCGGAAGCCUGAUGCAGCAACGCCGCGUGCGGGAUGACGGCCUUCGGGUUGUAAACCGCUUUCGCCUGUGACGAAGCGUGAGUGACGGUAAUGGGUAAAGAAGCACCGGCUAACUACGUGCCAGCAGCCGCGGUGAUACGUAGGGUGCGAGCGUUGUCCGGAUUUAUUGGGCGUAAAGGGCUCGUAGGUGGUUGAUCGCGUCGGAAGUGUAAUCUUGGGGCUUAACCCUGAGCGUGCUUUCGAUACGGGUUGACUUGAGGAAGGUAGGGGAGAAUGGAAUUCCUGGUGGAGCGGUGGAAUGCGCAGAUAUCAGGAGGAACACCAGUGGCGAAGGCGGUUCUCUGGGCCUUUCCUGACGCUGAGGAGCGAAAGCGUGGGGAGCGAACAGGCUUAGAUACCCUGGUAGUCCACGCUGUAAACGGUGGGUACUAGGUGUGGGGUCCAUUCCACGGGUUCCGUGCCGUAGCUAACGCUUUAAGUACCCCGCCUGGGGAGUACGGCCGCAAGGCUAAAACUCAAAGGAAUUGACGGGGCCCCGCACAAGCGGCGGAGCAUGCGGAUUAAUUCGAUGCAACGCGUAGAACCUUACCUGGGUUUGACAUGGAUCGGGAGUGCUCAGAGAUGGGUGUGCCUCUUUUGGGGUCGGUUCACAGGUGGUGCAUGGCUGUCGUCAGCUCGUGUCGUGAGAUGUUGGGUUAAGUCCCGCAACGAGCGCAACCCUUGUUCACUGUUGCCAGCACGUUAUGGUGGGGACUCAGUGGAGACCGCCGGGGACAACUCGGAGGAAGGUGGGGAUGACGUCAAGUCAUCAUGCCCCUUAUGUCCAGGGCUUCACGCAUGCUACAAUGGCUGGUACAGAGAGUGGCGAGCCUGUGAGGGUGAGCGAAUCUCGGAAAGCCGGUCUCAGUUCGGAUUGGGGUCUGCAACUCGACCUCAUGAAGUCGGAGUCGCUAGUAAUCGCAGAUCAGCAACGCUGCGGUGAAUACGUUCCCGGGGC